RNAcentral lists this ribosomal RNA (253 nucleotides) under uncultured bacterium. RNAcentral's name for it is "partial 16S ribosomal RNA". It matches the Rfam family "Bacterial small subunit ribosomal RNA", at positions 524 to 776 of the family's 1533-position model. The record is from RNAcentral.
UACGUAGGGUGCAAGCGUUGUCCGGAAUUAUUGGGCGUAAAGAGCUCGUAGGCGGUUUGUUGCGUCGGCUGUGAAAACCUGAGGCUCAACCUCAGGCCUGCAGUCGAUACGAGCAGACUAGAGUGUUGCAGGGGAGACUGGAAUUCCUGGUGUAGCGGUGAAAUGCGCAGAUAUCAGGAGGAACACCGAUGGCGAAGGCAGGUCUCUGGGCCGAUACUGACGCUGAGGAGCGAAAGCGUGGGGAGCGAACAGG